Molecule: ribosomal RNA, 151 nt
Filed under: uncultured eukaryote
Lineage: Eukaryota
Description: partial small subunit ribosomal RNA
Source: RNAcentral
UCGUGAGGGCAGGUAAUAACUGGACCAGGCCGAUGAAGCCGGUAGAUAAGUGCCAGUCCUUUUUGCGGAUAUUCUCGACCAAAUGCUGAGCAGCGAGUUUACGUUUAUCUUCAGGCAGUAAAUCAAAAUUAAGAGCCAGCGCAUAGCAGGU